AUGCAAUAUUUCAAACGAAAAUCUUCCAAAAGAUUACAUCAAGUGACAAUCAUUCAUCACUAAACAACUAUUCCCCAAAAAAAAAAAAAAAAAAAAAAAAACAUCAAGUGAUUUAUAAUUGCCAAUAGUUCGAUCACCAAUAUCUCAUGAUAACAACAUUGAAGAAAUUAUGCAAAAAAUAUCAUCUCAUCCUUGUGAAAAACAAUGUUAUGUAAUGUCAUCCAUGUAACCAUAAUGAGCCUAACAACACCUCCGUAAGAAUACUCCAUAUCUCAACAAGAAGUUAUCUGUAAGAAAAUCAGAAUAAAAGAAUAAUU
RNAcentral lists this long non-coding RNA (317 nucleotides) under Aquilegia coerulea. RNAcentral describes it as "long non-coding RNA (ACOE_LNC000286)". Lineage: Eukaryota; Viridiplantae; Streptophyta; Magnoliopsida; Ranunculales; Ranunculaceae. The record is from RNAcentral.